GCUGAUGUAGCUUAGCUGGUAGAGCAAUCGAUUCGUAAUCGAUAGGUCAGGAGUUCAAAUCUCCUCAUCAGCA
This 73-nucleotide transfer RNA is filed under the name Cyanobacteria bacterium SIG32. RNAcentral describes it as "tRNA-Thr". It matches the Rfam family "tRNA". From Rfam's summary of the family: Transfer RNA (tRNA) molecules are approximately 80 nucleotides in length. Their secondary structure includes four short double-helical elements and three loops (D, anti-codon, and T loops). The record is from RNAcentral. Lineage: Bacteria; Bacillati; Cyanobacteriota.